GACGAACGCUGGCGGCGUGCUUAACACAUGCAAGUCGAACGAUGAUCAGGAGCUUGCUCCUGUGAUUAGUGGCGAACGGGUGAGUAACACGUGAGUAACCUGCCCCUGACUCUGGGAUAAGCGUUGGAAACGACGUCUAAUACUGGAUACGACUGCCGGCCGCAUGGUCUGGUGGUGGAAAGAUUUUUUGGUUGGGGAUGGACUCGCGGCCUAUCAGCUUGUUGGUGAGGUAAUGGCUCACCAAGGCGACGACGGGUAGCCGGCCUGAAAGGGUGACGGGCCACACUUGGACUGGGACACGGCCCAGACUCCUACGGGAGGGAGCAGUGGGGAAUAUUGCACAAUGGGCGAAAGCCUGAUGCAGCAACGCCGCGUGAGGGAUGACGGCCUUCGGGUUGUAAACCUCUUUUAGUAGGGAAGAAGCGAAAGUGACGGUACCUGCAGAAAAAGCACCGGCUAACUACGUGCCAGCAGCCGCCGCCG
Molecule: ribosomal RNA, 483 nt
Filed under: uncultured bacterium
Lineage: Bacteria
Description: partial 16S ribosomal RNA
Rfam family: Bacterial small subunit ribosomal RNA
Source: RNAcentral